CUUGAUCGACCCCAGCCACAGCGGCCGAUCCGCCGGCCUGCCCUGGCCGUAGGUGGCCAGCAGGGCCUGGGCCUC
Molecule: non-coding RNA, 75 nt
Organism: Mycobacterium bohemicum
Lineage: Bacteria; Bacillati; Actinomycetota; Actinomycetes; Mycobacteriales; Mycobacteriaceae
Rfam family: ASpks TB sRNA
Source: Rfam